GUGGCAUCGCCGAGUAGCUAUGUGCGGAAGAGAUAACCGCUGAAAGCAUCUAAGCGGGAAACUCGUCUCAAGAUUAGUCUUGCCGGGGCCUCGAGCCCCCUGAAGAGUCGUUCGAGACCAGGACGUUGAUAGGCUGGGUGUGGAAGCUGAGUAAUCAGUUAAGCUAACCAGUACUAAUUGCUCGUGAGGCUUGACCCUAUAA
RNAcentral lists this ribosomal RNA (202 nucleotides) under Rhizobacter sp. Its description in RNAcentral is "partial 23S ribosomal RNA". It matches the Rfam family "Bacterial large subunit ribosomal RNA", at positions 2732 to 2925 of the family's 2925-position model. Lineage: Bacteria; Pseudomonadati; Pseudomonadota; Betaproteobacteria; Burkholderiales; Sphaerotilaceae. The record is from RNAcentral.